GAUAAACGCUGGCGGCGUGCCUAACACAUGCAAGUCGAACGAUCCCGCAAGGGAGAGUGGCGGAAGGGUGAGUAACACGUGGAAUCUACCUCCUCGCAGGGAACAACCUCUCGAAAGAGAGGCUAAUACCCAAAGGGUCAGAAAUGAUCAGAGUCGAAAGGCGUGAGGAGAGGAGCCCGCGGCCCAUCAGCUAGUUGGUGAGGUGAUGGCUUACCAAGGCUACGACGGGUAGGGGAUCUGAGAGGAUGUCCCCCACACUGGAACUGAAACACGGUCCAGACGCCUACGGGUGGCAGCAGUGAGGAAUAUUGGACAAUGGGCGAAAGCCCGAUCCAGCAACGCCGCGUGGAGGAUGAAGGCCUUCGGGUCGUAAACUUCUUUAGAGGGAGACGAGAAAGGACGGUAUCCCUAGAAUAAGCGACGGCAAACUAACGUGCCAGCAGCCGCGG
RNAcentral lists this ribosomal RNA (449 nucleotides) under uncultured bacterium. Its description in RNAcentral is "bacterial SSU rRNA". It matches the Rfam family "Bacterial small subunit ribosomal RNA", at positions 28 to 520 of the family's 1533-position model. The record is from RNAcentral.